Molecule: long non-coding RNA, 4714 nt
Organism: Mirounga angustirostris (Northern elephant seal)
Lineage: Eukaryota; Metazoa; Chordata; Mammalia; Carnivora; Phocidae
Exons: 3
Source: RefSeq, a predicted model, not a curated record
AAAAUGGCUGGUGCUUGUCUUCACGUUCAGGGACAGUAAGGAAAGGAGGAGGAAUCAAGACUGGGACACAGUCUUCAGACAACAUUGGUAAGAUGGGGUGCAGUGCCCACAGGAGGGGAAACAGGUGAGCCCCUGCAGCACAGAAGAAAGGAGGGCAGAUCCAACCGGGAUAAGCCUGUAUGUCAAGUUGGUGGAGGCUCUUUGUGCUGAACACCAAAUCAACCUAAUUAAGAUUGAUGGGUUGGCUGAGAAAUGGCCAUCAGCACCCAGACCUGUGUCGGCGGCCCUCCCUGCUAGGCGGGUGAGCUCCAGUGAGUGGGCAGCCGCUCCUCUCCGGAACUUCAGCAACUGCAGGCCCUGUUGGUCACCCACCCGCAUUCCCUGAGCCCUUUCCUGCUGACUCACUGCAGUCCCGCCACAGCCCAGCUGGGGCCGGAUGGGGGGAGAGGAGGCCACCUCAGGACCCAGGAAUGCUCUGCUGCCCGGCGCUGAAGGGGGCCAACUAACUCCGGAGUUUCUGCUGCUCUGGGGAGUGAUGACCAGGAACUGGACUGUCUGAAGACCCGAGUGGACCCCUCUGUCCCUGACUUAGUCACAGCCAGGCUCUUGUGUAUCCCCGUUUCUGAGAACAAGGCUUCCCCAGCCCCUUACCCCCGCCGCUUGUGUUAAAGCCCAGUUCACAGCGGCCCCACAGUUGUACGUUCCAUGUGGCCUGUGACCGUCCGUGGUCCUGUGGGAUUGCCUAUGACCAUGUGUCCUCAUGCGCCAGUGAGUGGGGUUGAAUGUACAGAAGUUGUGCAGAGGGGUGUGAGUCUGCGUGUGACUGCGUGGGCUUCAGAAUCCCCUUGUGUACCCCGUGUGUACCCCGUGUGUGUCCAGCCGCACGGGAUGAGUGCAGAUGAGUGGGUGGGGGUGCGGGCACGCAGUUAAGGCUCACUGUGCAGCGUGUGUGAUCCCGACGGGCUGUAUGUCACGGCUUGCGGAUGCAUGAUGGCCUGCGGUUACGUGUGAUUCCCCGUGGUUGCGUCCUGCUGAGUGUCAUAGCGCGCGAUGGAUGGGGUGGCCUGCAUAGGAUUCUUCAGGACCAUGUGUGGGUUCCGCGGCACAGGCCCGGGGGGGCAGGGGUCUGCAGCUCCAAAUCCACAGCCAGUAACAGAUAGGGGUGUGUGUGUGUGUGUGUAUCCGUUGUGCACUUUCUACUUUUCUAGCUUCGAAGCACCUUUUCUAGCUUCGAUCCCUGAGGAGCCCGUAGAGGCUCCCACUUAUGAAAGGAAGUGGAACUAGGCUGCAGAAUGCUCUUCCCCUGGGUCACUGACUGGUUUAGAGUGGUUUCUUGGAAGUCAGGCUGGGCUUCAGGGCAAUGCCAGCCCAUUGGAAGUCUCACAGCAGCCGGCUCCCCGCGCUGACAAAGUGUCCGCCCAGCCCUGGCGGGGGGCCCGGCUGCCUCCUGCCCCUGCAGGGACGCAGCCAGCUUCUCUCAGCCCUGGCCAUCUGCUCUCACCCUCCCCAUACCUAAUCCUGGGGCAGAAGGAAGCCAGGCAUCCAGCUCCCCUUCUCUUCCCAGCCUGAAGACAAGCGCCUGCCUUUUAAGGGGUUUACCACUGACAGUUUCAGGAAAAGCACAAUUAGAUUUGGGCAACAGCUGUUCAGAUGUGCGAGCCUCCAACAGACUCCGUGUCUGCUGGGAAGGAAUCUCUGUGCUCGGGGUCUGGAUCAUCCGCCAUGGCUGGUGUGGGCUGGGCUGAGGGUGAGUGACGUGGUACAAUCCAGCAGAAGGAGCACCCGGAGGGGAGAAAGUGCUGGAAGCAGGGGAAGCAGAGGGAAAGAAGAAACGAGGAGCUGGAGAGCCAGAAUGUCCUGAAUGGAGACUUGGGGUGGGGCCAGGAAAAGUGUGUGUGUGUGUGUCCCCUCCCCCAGCACCAGCAGGCCCACAGACCUGGGUGCAAAAGGUGUUGUAGAGAGAAAACUUGGGACUAGCAGCUCAGGAUACCUAAGUUCUGUCCUAACUGCCACCCAGCCUCUGUGUGACCAGGGAAAGCCCCUUUCCCUCUCUGGGCUUUCGUUCAUCCACCUUGAAGACAGACAACAAAGGAAAAUGUGAAGGAUGGGGCCAGAGGCAUGAGUCAGUGCUCAACAAACAUGACUCCUCAUCUAGUAACCUAAGGACAGCCGUCGACCCCUUCCCAGGGGUUGAGACCCUUCCCCAGCCCAGACAGUCCAUUUCUGAAAGAAUCCAUCUUUUCUUCCCUCAUCAGCACGGGCAGGGCCCUCCACACCCAGAUCCCACGAGGACCCUGCUCAGAGCUGGGGGUGAAGGUAGGGGUUUGAACAGUAAGAAGGGAAGAAAGCUGGGGGUGGAGGGAGGUGGGCAGACAUGGCGACGAGGGCCGCAGGGCUUCCCGUAGCAGAGCUUGACAUUGGUACCUGCCAAGACUCUUCCUGCUCCUCCCCGACUUGCCCAUCCAACCUGCACCUGUUCCCUCCCUCCCCGCCAACCAGCACACAUUCCUUAGGCCUAUAACUCUGGACUCAAGUCAUUCUGGUUGGUGCUAUGGCUCAACAUUCAUGGAGUUUCCAAGCUAAAUUCAACAUCCUAGACCCACCAGAGGCAAGAAAAUUUAGUAAGAUACAGGCCUUAUCUGUCAAGAACGUUUAAUGACAAUUGCAAGAACACCUAUUUGAUCACACUAGAUAAUACCACGUGGCAAAUUCAACUGCCUUCAAGAUCUAGACAGAUGGGGCGCCUGGGUGGCUCAGUUGGUUAAGCGACUGCCUUCGGCUCAGGUCAUGAUCCUGGAGUCCCAGGAUUGAGUCCCGCAUCAGGCUCCCUGCUCGGCAGGGAGCCUGCUUCUCCCUCUGACCCUCCCCCCUCUCAUGUGCUCUCUCUCUCUCAUUCUCUCUGUCUUAAAUAAAUAAAUAAAAUCUUUAAAAAAAAAAAAAGAUCUAGACAGAUGAUGUAGGUGGCUGAAGCAGCCUGGUGGAAGGCAGUAGGGCAUGGUGGGGCCUGGGGACCUAUUUCAAAGUGGGCCAAAGAAAAGAUAGCUGCUGCUAACCACCUUUGGUGACAUGUCUGAGUUCUUACUAAGUGCCAGGCACUGUGUGAAGAGCUCUCAUACGUUAUUUUCCUUAGUUCUCUUAAGAAUUCUAUGAGAGGGACGGGGUUGCUUAGUCAGUUAAGCAUCUGCCCUCGGCUCAGGUCAUGAUCCCAGGGUCCUGGAAUCGAGUCCCACGUUGGGCUCCCUGCUUAGCGGGGAGCCUGCUUCUCCCUCUGCUGCUCCCCCCUGCUUAUGCUCUCUCUCUCUGACAAAUAAAUAAAAUCUUAAAAAAGAGAGAGAGAGAGAGAGUUAAAAAAGAGAAAAGAAUUCUAUGACAGAGGGAUUAGCAUUGUAGGAGACAGAGUCUAAAGUGACCGGCAUGAUCCCUGUAUCCUCAUGUUCAUGCUUUUGUGUAAUCCCCUCCCCUUGAGAGUGGGCAGGACCUGUGACUUGUUUCUAACCAAUAGAAUAACCAAGAUGCCAAUAUCUAACCAAUACUGGCAGAAGUGGUGGGGCAUCCCUCCCAUGAUUACCUGGCAUCACAAAAGACUCAGUCUUACUUGCAGAUUGGUAUAGAGACUUCCUCUCUUGCUGACAUUGAAGAAGCAAGCUGUCAAGUUGUGAGAGAGCCCAUGGAGAGGGCAUCCUGGCUGGGAACUAUGGGUGCCCUCUAGGAACUAGGGCAGCCUCCAGCCUGCAGCCGACAAAAGGAUUUCAGUCCCACCACCACCAGGAGAUGAAUUCUGUCAGCCACCUGUGUGAGCCUAGAAGUGGAUCCAUCCCCACUGGAGCAUCCAGAUGAAAGCGCAGUCCUGGCUGACACCCUGGCCUUGCGGAGGACCCGGGGAAGCUGUGCCCAGACUCCCGCCCCACAGACACCAUGGAUAACAAAUACGCAUUGUUUUAAGUUGCUAUGUUUAUAUAACUUAUUAUGAUGCAGUAGAAAAUGAAGUACUAUCCCCAUCUUCCCGAUGAGGACCUCAAGCUCUGAGACCGAUGAGAGUCAUGUGAUGAGUAGGAGCCACAGCAGGGGCCUGGACCAGUCCCCAGACUGCAGGCCUACGUUCUCUCCAGGACUCAGGUCUCUGGGUGGCCACCUAGAUAGGAGAGGAGUAACCUGCACAGCACUGAUUCAAUUACCCUAUCUUCGUUUCAGUUCAACAAUGUGUUGUACUCCUUCCGUGCGCCCAGCCCUGUGCCGGGCGCUGGGGGUACAGCAGUGAGCAGCGCAGACACGGGACCUGCUUUUGGGGAGUGGAAGGUGCAAUGAGGGUUGUGAACACUGACAAGGGAGAUCAGUGUGACGAGGAUUUCAAAACAAGGAGGAAUGGGAUGAACUGGGAACAUGUGCAGGGCAGCAGGCCUCGGCGAAGGCCAGGGAUGGUCUCCUUGAGGAAGUGGCAUGUCGGUCCCUUGGGGGUAGGCCUGGUGGGGAGUCAGCCCCUCGGCAUUGCAAGUGUGUGAGUGGGCGGGUGAGCGGGUAAGCUUUCCUGGUCACAGGUCCCCAGGGAAGAAGGCUCUCCCAGCAAUGUGAAAUCAUCCUGUUUCUGUGCACUGGCUUCCAAGACAUCUUGUCCCAAGGACCCAGGGCCUCUAUGACUAGGCCGUGACGCCCGUGAUGAUGGAGCACACUUCCAGGAUGCAUCAUGGGCGGAUGGGGCAAGGGCAGGGGUUGCUUA